GGGGGAGGGUUGGGAUCCCGCUAACAUGUUUAACCCCGCCACAUUAUUUAUGUAUGUGCCUGUCCCAAGUCAGGAGCCUGUAAUUCAGUGGUUGUCGUUUGUUUAUGUGUUACAUAUUUGUUUUUCGUUCUUUUUUUGUACAUAAAUAAGGCCGUUAGUUUUCUCGUUUGAUUUGUUUUACAUUGUCUUAUCGGGGCCUUUUAUAG
Molecule: long non-coding RNA, 206 nt
Filed under: Mytilus galloprovincialis (Mediterranean mussel)
Lineage: Eukaryota; Metazoa; Mollusca; Bivalvia; Mytilida; Mytilidae
Source: RNAcentral